CAGCCGCCACGGGAAUACGAAGGGUGCAAGCGUUAAUCGGAAUUACUGGGCGUAAAGCGUGCGUAGGCGGUCUGUUAAGUCUGUUGUGAAAUCCCCGGGCUCAACCUGGGAAUGGCAAUGGAUACUGGCAAGCUAGAGUGUGUCAGAGGAUGGUGGAAUUCCCGGUGUAGCGGUGAAAUGCGUAGAGAUCGGGAGGAACAUCAGUGGCGAAGGCGGCCAUCUGGGACAACACUGACGCUGAGGCACGAAAGCGUGGGGAGCAAACAGGAUUAGAUACCCCCGUAGUCCCUGUCUCUUAUAC
Molecule: ribosomal RNA, 301 nt
Filed under: uncultured bacterium
Lineage: Bacteria
Description: partial 16S ribosomal RNA
Rfam family: Bacterial small subunit ribosomal RNA
Source: RNAcentral